This 588-nucleotide long non-coding RNA is filed under the name Oryzias javanicus (javanese ricefish). RNAcentral's name for it is "lncRNA (ENSOJAG00000014580.1)". The record is from RNAcentral. Lineage: Eukaryota; Metazoa; Chordata; Actinopteri; Beloniformes; Adrianichthyidae.
AUGCGACCGGUCUUUGUCUCAUUCAUCCUGGUUGCCGCGCACAUUUCUGCAGACGCGGAUUGCAGAGCGAUCUCUGGGCCGCGGCGGCCGCGGCCGCCGCAGCCGCAGCACGUGACGGGCGGCGAUAAGAGCGGGACGCGCUCGAGUCUGGGGUUUGAAAUGAGAGGGGACGCUUUCACAGGCCUGCUGGCUACAAACAACUUUGUGUCAAUAUUUGACUUGAGGAGAGAGCGGUUCCUGUGCACGGACUCGAGCGGACAGCUGAUCCCCUCGAGACGGAGCCCGGACUGUUUCCUCCGGCGCUCCCGCUUGAAUCUGGCGUUCCCCUCGCCGAGCGGGAAGCAGCCGCCGGGGGCGAGGAGGCGCAGGAGGAGCAAGGAGGUGAACCCCUCCGACCCCCUCAUGUCGGAAACGCAUCCCUCGCUUCCCGCCAAAGAUGGAGAUAAGAGCCAGCCGGAUCAGGACCGGGCCGGCGCCGUGUCCAAGGAGACCAUCACGUCCUGCGACGACCCCCUGCGAGUGCUGAGGCCCAACGGCGCCGGCAGCCCCGUCAAGACCAACAUCGCCGACCGCGCGGAGCACAGCUGA